AAAAAAAACAACGCACAAUGCAUCGAUUCGACCCCAAACGACCAUUCGGUAUUCGCUCUUUCCCCAUUAAGCACCAGGACCAUCGGCGGCGCGAUUUCAAACCAAAUCCCUCCUCCCGAAACCUUUUCAGCAAUCGCCACUCGCGAAUCCCUCACCGCCAGAACCCUAGGAAGCUUCUAGAACCCCUGCGAGGCCAGCGAGAUGCUACUCCGGACUCCACCGCAGCGGAAGCGGCGGGCCGACCCCGACCCCAACCUCGACCUCGACCUCGCCGCCGCCGUCGCCGUCGCCACCGGACGGACCCCCGUCUCCGACCGCCGCCUCGUGCCCUACGACCGCCCCACGGCCCUCGUGUCCGCCUCCGGCACCGAGGAGCCCUCCGACGACAUGGUCUGCACAUACCACUGCCGUCAGAUGGUGAAAUCGGAGUUCGUGGUGGCACUGGACACCGCGGAGAAGGCGGUUCAGGAGUAUCGAGUAAAGCUUGACACAUUGGAGAAACAGUUAUCUAAGAGUGAGGAUGAAAGGACUACAUAUCAUGAUAAACUGAACUAUGUUGAACAAGAACUAGCAGCAACAAAAGGGCGGGAGACUGCAUUGCAAGAACGGUUAUUGAAGGAGCUGGGCGAGUAUCAGGAGCGAUACCGGCAGCAAGUCAAGAAGAUAGGGGAACUUGAGAUUAAACUCAAUAAAGAGAUUGAUUCUCGAAUUAGCGCUGAAUCAUCUUCAGCAUCUGCAAAGGAGUCGGUCAAGGAGUUGGAACGGGCUAUGCAGCGGUCAUCAGAAAAUUCAGAAAGGGAGAAGAAAGCCCUUCAGAAGGAACUUUCAUAUAUGAAAGAUGACUCUAAACUAUCCAUCUCUAAACUUAAUGCUGAGCUUGAAAGAAUGAGCCUCAGGGCGCAAAACUCUGAGAAGGAAGCAAAGAUGUUAAAUGAGCAGUUGGAGGACUUGAAAAAGCAAUUAAAUGAGUGUCUUCGCGAAAAGAACGAAACCGAGCUCAGACUACUGGAUUCUGCUCCUUUGUCUGUUCAGCGUAAUCCAACAGAUGAUCAGAAGUUAAUAAAACUUUUGCAAGAGGAGCUCCGGAACUAUGAAAAAGAAGUGCACGAAGCUAGAAGAUUAAAAUCUUCCCACACAAAUGUUGAGCUGCUAAGUGAAAAGCUGUUGGAGGAGCAGAGUCGAAGGAAACGAGCCGAAACAGAACUAUCUAAGCUGCAAGAAAUCGAAGCUAAAGCACAGAAGUUGGAGCUGGAAUUAGCGUCAUGUACAUCAUUACUUGGCAACAUACCUGAUGUGUCUUCUUACAGCAACAUUGCAGAUUUGCAAAGGCAAGCAUUGACAGACUUGAAUAAAUUGGGUGAAGUAACAUCACGGUUGAAAGAAUUGGAGGUUACGUUGGAAUUUGCUGAGAUCAGCAAGCAACGUGCAGAAGGUGAAGCUACCCUUGCCAAAGAGAGAGCUGAAAGUGCUAGCAGGGAGGUCAAGCGCCUUGAACUUCUGCUUACUGCAGUGAGUGAAGAAAGAGAUAGAUUACGAAAAGAUCAUAAUAUGUUAUCUAACCAAAAAACUAGGGAUGGAGAUGACAUGUCAUCCAAGAAAAUGGAGUCAGAUCUAUCUCAAAUGGAAAAGGUAGUAAGAGAACUAGAGACCACUCUACACGAGCAGAGAGAACUAAUUAGUCAACAACAUGCGGAGCUCAAUCUAAUGAAUGAGAAAUUGAGCAUUGAAGCAAGAAAAGCAAAAUCAUUGGAGCGAGAGGGAGAUCAACUGCGCUCUCAGGUGGCAUUACUCGAGUCUAAGCUGGGUCAUGGGGAUUACUCUGCCUCAAGCACAAAAGUACUUCGUAUGGUGAAUACUCUUGCAAUGGAUAGUGAAGCAAAGCAGACAAUAGAAGCACUGCAAGCUGAGUUAAAGAAAACAAAAGAGAGGCUGCAGGCAAUCGAAGAACUAAAAGGGCAAGCUGAUGCUGGAACUGUAGUAGAUGCAAAUGUUGCAGAAAAGCUAGCACAGCUUAAAAAUCAAGUUGCCACACUAGAGAAACGUGAAGAAAGAUACAAGGCAGUGUUUCUGGAGAGGAUCUCAGUCUUCCGAAAGGCUUGCUGCUCGCUUUUUGGUUAUCAGAUAGUGAUGAAUGAUGAGCAGCAGCCAAAUGGGAUUCAUGUAACACGAUUUACUCUGCAAUCAGUAUAUGCCCAAACCGAUGAUGAAAAACUCGAGUUUCUCUAUGAAUCAGGAAGCACCAAUAUAGUGGUCAAUGGCUACACUUCUCAACAUGAGAUUGCUCAGCAGGUUGAUAUUUUCAUAAGAAAGAUGAAUUCCAUCCCAGCCUUCACUGCUAACCUGACAAUGGAAUCCUUCAACAAGAGAAGUAUAUGUUGAGGGCCAAAAUGAGUGAGAAAUCAUAUUCCUCUAUUAUGUUUGUAGCAUACCUGUGAAAUUGCAAUGCAUUGGCGGUUAACAGAAGUGUGCUCACGCAACCUAUCAGGUCAUCUUUUUGGGGGAGGGAUUACUUGCAGUCGUAUGUGGAAGGAUUCAUCAAAUUCAAAUUCCAGCAUAUGAAGAAGUUGAGUGGAAGGCUGGUGCUGACGGUAUGGUACUAUCAGAUGAAUGCCAUUUUAGUUUGAACAAUGUAAAUACGAGCGCAUACAAUGUAAUCCCUGUGAGUUUUGUGAACUAGCAACUUGAUAAUGUCACAUCUUUUGUGUGGGGAAAAAGCAUCAAAUCGUACCGUGCAGUUUUUUUUUUUCCUAUGACAACGCACCGCAGUCAGUUACUUCAGUGAAUCACUAUCCAUUGAGCUAGUUUUAUCCGUGGCAUGCUACGAUCAUCCACGGGUGCUUAUGCGUGUUGGAGCAGCCUCUGUAACUCUUUUUUUUUGACAGCCUUUGUAACUCUUUGC
This 2899-nucleotide ribosomal RNA is filed under the name Triticum aestivum (bread wheat). RNAcentral's name for it is "partial small subunit ribosomal RNA". Lineage: Eukaryota; Viridiplantae; Streptophyta; Magnoliopsida; Poales; Poaceae. The record is from RNAcentral.